GGACUUCUGAAUGCGGACAGGUGCCUGGCAAUGUCGGGUCCCAAACCGGGGCUGCUGGGAUCAGUACUGCCAAGCACAGACGGAGCCAGUAGUGACCAAACCUGGGUCGGCCUUCCUGGAGCCCCCUUUUGUAUGAGGCUCAUCCUUAGACCCUGCUGUUAGCGAGAGUUCUGAUCGAGCCCCUGAGAGUGUUUACAGGACACACAGCCACCCAAGGAGCUGCUAGAGUUCCCAGCCUCCUUGCAGCUCUGUGUGAAAAGGAGUGAUCUGAACACUUGGAGCUGAAGCAGUGUGACCUUGAGCUUCUCUUUCCUCCUCCCCUUGUGCCAACACGUGGACGCAGGUGAAGGAGGUGGAGCCUAACCCACUGUGUCAGUGUAUGCUGUGGGUGGUGAGUGCCUUCCAAAGAAGACAGAAUGGAAGCGGGAAAAGAGACAGAGUGGAGAAAACUGACAGACUGCUUCAACCAGGAUUUGAAUUCCGCUGAGAAAGAGACUCGGGACCCAGACUGAAGGAGAGGAGACGUGGCCUCGUUUUGCGGCAAGUGGCAUGCUGUCUGUCUCCUGGAUAGAAAUUCCUCCACUCACAGCUGGCCUCCCCUGCGGUCAGAACUUGCCCUGCUAAGCUCCCAGCAUACCAGCAAGCAGACCAGGAUUGGAAGCAGGAAAUAGCCCUGGAGCCCCUAUCAUUUGAAAUGGAAACAAGGGUUCUGUAGCCCAGUUUUAGAAAUUCUUCUGUUUCUUGCGUAGCUCUCCACAGUAUCGGCUGAAAUUCCUUUCGUACCAGAAGCCUUCAUCAGAAGUGCUGGUUUCAAAACACAGACCAUAUCGCCAUAGGUUUUGGAGUGAGGUGAUGGUCACUGGUGAAAAGUGCAGGCAUCUAGAGACAGUAACACCACUUAUGGUGAGCUGUCACUGUCAUGCAAAAAUCAGAAUUAGUGAAAUCAACUGCUCCCUGGCAAAGCACCGUGAAGAUGGUUUUCUCCU
RNAcentral lists this long non-coding RNA (986 nucleotides) under Sus scrofa (pig). RNAcentral's name for it is "lncRNA (ENSSSCG00030052332.1, ENSSSCG00150028530.1)". Lineage: Eukaryota; Metazoa; Chordata; Mammalia; Artiodactyla; Suidae. The record is from RNAcentral.